AAACAAUAAACAGAUAAACAAUAAGACAAUCAAAACACAAAACCCAUCAUAUCCAUAUCACCAAACACCAAACCCCAUAACCCGCUGAGUUACUCCCAUAUCAACAUCGGCCAUCACACUUACGUGGAACACAUCCGAACCCAAUCCAAAAAACACAUUACAUCCAAUAACAGAAAAAAUCAAAUAAACAACACCUGAAUCGAACUUGUAGAGCACAUCCACUGUAAACCUAGAAGAAGAUUCAAUCAGUAACACCCAAAUCCCCCACCUACAAAAAUGUAUUCAAACACAAUGAACACCAAUUGAGAAACACCUCAACCUCCCUCUUCCCCGCAGUCCACACAACCCCUCCUUCAAAAAAGGCACUCAUGGAAGAGGUUUAAUAAUUUAUUUAGGGUAUCUAACAUAACUGUUUACUAAUAAUAACCCCCAAAGGAAUUUAUGAAUUGAACCAAUGGUGCACUUUGAAAACGCCAUCGUUGAAGAUAGGAAAAACUCCUAAUCUUUCAACCGGAGAUAUAUAAUUCAGAAACAGAUUGUAAAUUUGCCGUGUGGGUGAGAUAAAUGCAGAUCUUCGUGAAAACCCUAACCGGGAAGACCAUAAACCCUGGAGGUCGAGUCGAGUGACACGAUUGACAAUGUCAAGGCCAAGAUUCAGGACAAAGAAGGUAUUCCAACAAUGUCUGAUAUUCACCGGUAAACAGCUCGAAGAUGGUCGUACACUCGCCGAUUACAACAUUCAGAACGGUUUUAUUUGAAAAACUUAUAUUUGUUUAUAUAUUUAUGAUUCGUGGUGUAUUGUGAUAUGAAUGGAAUGUGAUUAUACAGAGUCGACUCUGCAUCUUGUUUUGAGGCGUCGUGGCGGUGUAUCAUAGAGCCUUCUUUGAUGGCAUUGGCUCGAAAGUAUAACCAGGACAAGAUGAUCUGCCGCACAUGUUAUGCUAGUCGCAUCCUCGUGCUGUCAACUGCAAGAAAAAGAAGUGUGUGGGCACAGCAACCAGAAGAAGAUCAAGUAGAGCACGGACUACCAGAAAUGUUUUACACAUAAUUUUCAUUGGGAGCAAUUUAUGGGCCAGUUAUUAGAGUUUUUAGGGGAUUGGUUGUUGAUUUAGACCCUUGUCUAUGGGCAAUGAAAUGCUUCUUUGUUUCAUUAUGGAUUUUGACAAUUCAGGUUUUGUUUUUGGUGCAUGUUGACAGCCAUUUUAUCAAUGCAUGUUUUUGAUAUAUUUAACUCUUUGAUCUUAAUAGUCAGGUUAUUAAUGAUUUAUAGAAGCUUUUUUUUUAGUCUGUCGUUGGGAUGAAAUUUGUGUUACUGAGUUCCAUGGUUCUGCGAUUCAAAUCAAACAUUUCAAGAAAUUGCAAAAUUUUUGAUGGAUUUCUGUACGAGGGCCUUUCUGUUUGUUGCUUUCGAAGUCGUAUAUCAUAAUCAUACAAUGCCUUGUUAA
This is a non-coding RNA of Camellia sinensis, 1445 nucleotides long. The record is from RefSeq and is a predicted model, not a curated record. NCBI's taxonomy places the organism in Eukaryota, Viridiplantae, Streptophyta, Magnoliopsida, Ericales, Theaceae.